This 252-nucleotide ribosomal RNA is filed under the name uncultured bacterium. RNAcentral's name for it is "partial 16S ribosomal RNA". It matches the Rfam family "Bacterial small subunit ribosomal RNA", at positions 524 to 775 of the family's 1533-position model. The record is from RNAcentral.
UACGAAGGGUGCAAGCGUUAAUCGGAAUUACUGGGCGUAAAGCGUGCGUAGGCGGUUAUUUAAGUCUGUUGUGAAAUCCCCGGGCUCAACCUGGGAAUGGCAAUGGAUACUGGAUAGCUAGAGUGUGAUAGAGGAUGGUGGAAUUCCACGUGUAGCAGUGAAAUGCGUAGAGAUGUGGAGGAAUACCGAUGGCGAAGGCAGCCCCCUGGGCCAAUACUGACGCUCAUGCACGAAAGCGUGGGGAGCAAACAG